GCUGAAAGACCGGCUCGCGCACGAUCACUGAAGUUAAGCAACGUUGAGCCUGGUCAGUACCUAGAUGGGUGACCGCUUGAAAAUACCAAGUGCUGUAAG
This is a non-coding RNA of Acanthosepion pharaonis, 99 nucleotides long. NCBI's taxonomy places the organism in Eukaryota, Metazoa, Mollusca, Cephalopoda, Sepiida, Sepiidae. The record is from the annotation of a GenBank genome assembly.